Molecule: ribosomal RNA, 465 nt
Filed under: Vreelandella stevensii
Lineage: Bacteria; Pseudomonadati; Pseudomonadota; Gammaproteobacteria; Oceanospirillales; Halomonadaceae
Description: partial 16S ribosomal RNA
Rfam family: Bacterial small subunit ribosomal RNA
Source: RNAcentral
CCUACGGGUGGCUGCAGUGGGGAAUAUUGGACAAUGGGGGCAACCCUGAUCCAGCCAUGCCGCGUGUGUGAAGAAGGCCCUCGGGUUGUAAAGCACUUUCAGUGAGGAAGAACGCCUGGUGGUUAAUACCCAUCAGUAAAGACAUCACUCACAGAAGAAGCACCGGCUAACUCCGUGCCAGCAGCCGCGGUAAUACGGAGGGUGCGAGCGUUAAUCGGAAUUACUGGGCGUAAAGCGCGCGUAGGUGGCUUGAUAAGCCGGUUGUGAAAGCCCCGGGCUCAACCUGGGAACGGCAUCCGGAACUGUCAAGCUAGAGUGCAGGAGAGGAAGGUAGAAUUCCCGGUGUAGCGGUGAAAUGCGUAGAGAUCGGGAGGAAUACCAGUGGCGAAGGCGGCCUUCUGGACUGACACUGACACUGAGGUGCGAAAGCGUGGGUAGCAAACAGGAUUAGAUACCCUUGUAGUC